GAUAAACGCUGGCGGCGUGCCUAAUACAUGCAAGUCGAGCGAACGGACGAGAAGCUUGCUUCUCUGAUGUUAGCGGCGGACGGGUGAGUAACACGUGGAUAACCUACCUAUAAGACUGGGAUAACUUCGGGAAACCGGAGCUAAUACCGGAUAAUAUUUUGAACCGCAUGGUUCAAAAGUGAAAGACGGUCUUGCUGUCACUUAUAGAUGGAUCCGCGCUGCAUUAGCUAGUUGGUAAGGUAACGGCUUACCAAGGCAACGAUGCAUAGCCGACCUGAGAGGGUGAUCGGCCACACUGGAACUGAGACACGGUCCAGACUCCUACGGGAGGCAGCAGUAGGGAAUCUUCCGCAAUGGGCGAAAGCCUGACGGAGCAACGCCGCGUGAGUGAUGAAGGUCUUCGGAUCGUAAAACUCUGUUAUUAGGGAAGAACAUAUGUGUAAGUAACUGUGCACAUCUUGACGGUACCUAAUCAGAAAGCCACGGCUAACUACGUGCCAGCAGCCGCGGUAAUACGUAGGUGGCAAGCGUUAUCCGGAAUUAUUGGGCGUAAAGCGCGCGUAGGCGGUUUUUUAAGUCUGAUGUGAAAGCCCACGGCUCAACCGUGGAGGGUCAUUGGAAACUGGAAAACUUGAGUGCAGAAGAGGAAAGUGGAAUUCCAUGUGUAGCGGUGAAAUGCGCAGAGAUAUGGAGGAACACCAGUGGCGAAGGCGACUUUCUGGUCUGUAACUGACGCUGAUGUGCGAAAGCGUGGGGAUCAAACAGGAUUAGAUACCCUGGUAGUCCACGCCGUAAACGAUGAGUGCUAAGUGUUAGGGGGUUUCCGCCCCUUAGUGCUGCAGCUAACGCAUUAAGCACUCCGCCUGGGGAGUACGACCGCAAGGUUGAAACUCAAAGGAAUCGACGGGGACCCGCACAAGCGGUGGAGCAUGUGGUUUAAUUCGAAGCAACGCGAAGAACCUUACCAAAUCUUGACAUCCUUUGACAACUCUAGAGAUAGAGCCUUCCCCUUCGGGGGACAAAGUGACAGGUGGUGCAUGGUUGUCGUCAGCUCGUGUCGUGAGAUGUUGGGUUAAGUCCCGCAACGAGCGCAACCCUUAAGCUUAGUUGCCAUCAUUAAGUUGGGCACUCUAAGUUGACUGCCGGUGACAAACCGGAGGAAGGUGGGGAUGACGUCAAAUCAUCAUGCCCCUUAUGAUUUGGGCUACACACGUGCUACAAUGGACAAUACAAAGGGCAGCGAAACCGCGAGGUCAAGCAAAUCCCAUAAAGUUGUUCUCAGUUCGGAUUGUAGUCUGCAACUCGACUACAUGAAGCUGGAAUCGCUAGUAAUCGUAGAUCAGCAUGCUACGGUGAAUACGUUCCCGGGUCU
Molecule: ribosomal RNA, 1372 nt
Filed under: uncultured bacterium
Lineage: Bacteria
Description: bacterial SSU rRNA
Rfam family: Bacterial small subunit ribosomal RNA
Source: RNAcentral